This 484-nucleotide ribosomal RNA is filed under the name uncultured bacterium. RNAcentral's name for it is "partial 16S ribosomal RNA". It matches the Rfam family "Bacterial small subunit ribosomal RNA", at positions 30 to 507 of the family's 1533-position model. The record is from RNAcentral.
AUUGAACGCUGGCGGCAGGCCUAACACAUGCAAGUCGAGCGGAUGAAGGGAGCUUGCUCCUGGACUCAGCGGCGGACGGGUGAGUAAUGCCUAGGAAUCUGCCUGGUAGUGGGGGAUAACGUCCGGAAACGGGCGCUAAUACCGCAUACGUCCUGAGGGAGAAAGUGGGGGGUCUUCGGACCUCACGCUAUCAGAUGAGCCUAGGUCGGAUUAGCUAGUUGGUGGGGUAAAGGCCUACCAAGGCGACGAUCCGUAACUGGUCUGAGAGGAUGAUCAGUCACACUGGAACUGAGACACGGUCCAGACUCCUACGGGAGGCAGCAGUGGGGAAUAUUGGACAAUGGGCGAAAGCCUGAUCCAGCCAUGCCGCGUGUGUGAAGAAGGUCUUCGGAUUGUAAAGCACUUUAAGUUGGGAGGAAGGGCAGUAAGUUAAUACCUUGCUGUUUUGACGUUACCAACAGAAUAAGCACCGGCUAACUUCGUG